UUGUGAGGUUAAGCGACUAAGCGUACACGGUGGAUGCCCUGGCAGUCAGAGGCGAUGAAGGACGUGCUAAUCUGCGAUAAGCGUCGGUGAGGUGAUAUGAACCGUUAUAACCGGCGAUUUCCGAAUGGGGAAACCCAGUGUGUUUCGACACACUAUCAUUAACUGAAUCCAUAGGUUAAUGAGGCGAACCGGGGGAACUGAAACAUCUAAGUACCCCGAGGAAAAGAAAUCAACCGAGAUUCCCCCAGUAGCGGCGAGCGAACGGGGAGGAGCCCAGAGCCUGAAUCAGUGUGUGUGUUAGUGGAAGCGUCUGGAAAGGCGCGCGAUACAGGGUGACAGCCCCGUACACAAAAAUGCACAUAUUGUGAGCUCGAUGAGUAGGGCGGGACACGUGGUAUCCUGUCUGAAUAUGGGGGGACCAUCCUCCAAGGCUAAAUACUCCUGACUGACCGAUAGUGAACCAGUACCGUGAGGGAAAGGCGAAAAGAACCCCGGCGAGGGGAGUGAAAAAGAACCUGAAACCGUGUACGUACAAGCAGUGGGAGCCUCUUAAUGGGGUGACUGCGUACCUUUUGUAUAAUGGGUCAGCGACUUAUAUUCUGUAGCAAGGUUAACCGAAUAGGGGAGCCGAAGGGAAACCGAGUCUUAACUGGGCGUUAAGUUGCAGGGUAUAGACCCGAAACCCGGUGAUCUAGCCAUGGGCAGGUUGAAGGUUGGGUAACACUAACUGGAGGACCGAACCGACUAAUGUUGAAAAAUUAGCGGAUGACUUGUGGCUGGGGGUGAAAGGCCAAUCAAACCGGGAGAUAGCUGGUUCUCCCCGAAAGCUAUUUAGGUAGCGCCUCGUGAAUUCAUCUCCGGGGGUAGAGCACUGUUUCGGCAAGGGGGUCAUCCCGACUUACCAACCCGAUGCAAACUGCGAAUACCGGAGAAUGUUAUCACGGGAGACACACGGCGGGUGCUAACGUCCGUCGUGAAGAGGGAAACAACCCAGACCGCCAGCUAAGGUCCCAAAGUCAUGGUUAAGUGGGAAACGAUGUGGGAAGGCCCAGACAGCCAGGAUGUUGGCUUAGAAGCAGCCAUCAUUUAAAGAAAGCGUAAUAGCUCACUGGUCGAGUCGGCCUGCGCGGAAGAUGUAACGGGGCUAAACCAUGCACCGAAGCUGCGGCAGCGACACUAUGUGUUGUUGGGUAGGGGAGCGUUCUGUAAGCCUGUGAAGGUGGCCUGUGAGGGUUGCUGGAGGUAUCAGAAGUGCGAAUGCUGACAUAAGUAACGAUAAAGCGGGUGAAAAGCCCGCUCGCCGGAAGACCAAGGGUUCCUGUCCAACG
RNAcentral lists this ribosomal RNA (1328 nucleotides) under Escherichia coli. Its description in RNAcentral is "partial 23S ribosomal RNA". It matches the Rfam family "Bacterial large subunit ribosomal RNA", at positions 1 to 1364 of the family's 2925-position model. Lineage: Bacteria; Pseudomonadati; Pseudomonadota; Gammaproteobacteria; Enterobacterales; Enterobacteriaceae. The record is from RNAcentral.